RNAcentral lists this ribosomal RNA (699 nucleotides) under uncultured Bacteroidales bacterium. Its description in RNAcentral is "bacterial SSU rRNA". It matches the Rfam family "Bacterial small subunit ribosomal RNA", at positions 28 to 717 of the family's 1533-position model. Lineage: Bacteria; Pseudomonadati; Bacteroidota; Bacteroidia; Bacteroidales. The record is from RNAcentral.
GAUGAACGCUAGCUACAGGCUUAACACAUGCAAGUCGAGGGGCAUCAGGAAGAAAGCUUGCUUUCUUUGCUGGCGACCGGCGCACGGGUGAGUAACACGUAUCCAACCUGCCCUUUACUCGGGGAUAGCCUUUCGAAAGAAAGAUUAAUACCCGAUAGCAUAAUGAUUCCGCAUGGUUUCAUUAUUAAAGGAUUCCGGUAAAGGAUGGGGAUGCGUUCCAUUAGGUUGUUGGUGAGGUAACGGCCCACCAAGCCUUCGAUGGAUAGGGGUUCUGAGAGGAAGGUCCCCCACAUUGGAACUGAGACACGGUCCAAACUCCUACGGGAGGCAGCAGUGAGGAAUAUUGGUCAAUGGGCGUUAGCCUGAACCAGCCAAGUAGCGUGAAGGAUGAAGGCUCUAUGGGUCGUAAACUUCUUCUAUAUAAGAAUAAAGUGCAGUAUGUAUACUGUUUUGUAUGUAUUAUAUGAAUAAGGAUCGGCUAACUCCGUGCCAGCAGCCGCGGUAAUACGGAGGAUCCGAGCGUUAUCCGGAUUUAUUGGGUUUAAAGGGAGCGUAGGUGGACUGGUAAGUCAGUUGUGAAAGUUUGCGGCUCAACCGUAAAAUUGCAGUUGAUACUGUCAGUCUUGAGUACAGUAGAGGUGGGCGGAAUUCGUGGUGUAGCGGUGAAAUGCUUAGAUAUCACGAAGAACUCCGAUUGCG